GCCGCUAUGGUGAAAUUGGUAGACACGCUGCU
This 32-nucleotide transfer RNA is filed under the name Parianella lanceolata. RNAcentral's name for it is "partial tRNA-Leu". The record is from RNAcentral. Lineage: Eukaryota; Viridiplantae; Streptophyta; Magnoliopsida; Poales; Poaceae.